AGUGAACGCUGGCGGUAGGCCUAACACAUGCAAGUCGAACGGCAGCACAGGAGAGCUUGCUCUCUGGGUGGCGAGUGGCGGACGGGUGAGGAAUACAUCGGAAUCUACUCUGUCGUGGGGGAUAACGUAGGGAAACUUACGCUAAUACCGCAUACGACCUACGGGUGAAAGCAGGGGAUCUUCGGACCUUGCGCGGUUGAAUGAGCCGAUGUCGGAUUAGCUAGUUGGCGGGGUAAAGGCCCACCAAGGCGACGAUCCGUAGCUGGUCUGAGAGGAUGAUCAGCCACACUGGAACUGAGACACGGUCCAGACUCCUACGGGGGGCAGCAGUGGGGAAUAUUGGACAAUGGGCGCAAGCCUGAUCCAGCCAUACCGCGUGGGUGAAGAAGGCCUUCGGGUUGUAAAGCCCUUUUGUUGGGAAAGAAAUCCAGCUGGCUAAUACCCGGUUGGGAUGACGGUACCCAAAGAAUAAGCACCGGCUAACUUCGUGCCAGCAGCUGCAGUAA
This 506-nucleotide ribosomal RNA is filed under the name uncultured bacterium. RNAcentral describes it as "partial 16S ribosomal RNA". It matches the Rfam family "Bacterial small subunit ribosomal RNA", at positions 29 to 523 of the family's 1533-position model. The record is from RNAcentral.